Molecule: ribosomal RNA, 254 nt
Filed under: uncultured bacterium
Lineage: Bacteria
Description: partial 16S ribosomal RNA
Rfam family: Bacterial small subunit ribosomal RNA
Source: RNAcentral
UACGUAGGGGGCGAGCGUUGUCCGGAUUCAUUGGGCGUAAAGAGCUCGUAGGCGGCUUGGUAAGUCAAAUGUGAAACCUCCAGGCUCAACUUGGAGACGCCACUUGAUACUGCCAUGGCUAGAGUCCGGUAGGGGAUCACGGAAUUCCUGGUGUAGCGGUGAAAUGCGCAGAUAUCAGGAGGAGCACCGGUGGCGAAGGCGGUGGUCUGGGCCGGCACUGACGCUGAGGAGCGAAAGCGUGGGGAGCGAACAGG